UACGUAGGGUGCAAGCGUUGUCCGGAAUCACUGGGCGUAAAGGGCGCGUAGGUGGCGCCGCAAGUCCAUGGUGAAAGCUCGAUGCUCAACAUCGAGUCGGCCACGGAGACUGCGGGGCUCGAGCACUGUAGGGGCAGAUGGAAUUCCGGGUGUAGCGGUGGAAUGCGUAGAGAUCCGGAAGAACACCGGUGGCGAAGGCGGUCUGCUGG
RNAcentral lists this ribosomal RNA (209 nucleotides) under uncultured bacterium. RNAcentral describes it as "partial 16S ribosomal RNA". It matches the Rfam family "Bacterial small subunit ribosomal RNA", at positions 524 to 732 of the family's 1533-position model. The record is from RNAcentral.